CCACACCGUAAACGAUGGAUACUAGGUGUAGGGUGUGAUAAACAUUCUGUGCCGUCGCAAACGCAAUAAGUAUCCCACCUGGGGAGUACGGCCGCAAGGUUGAAACUCAAAGGAAUUGACGGGGGCCCGCACAAGCAGUGGAGUAUGUGGUUUAAUUCGAUGCAACGCGAAGAACCUUACCAGGGCUUGACAUAUAGAGGAAUAUGCUAGAGAUAGUAUAGCUCUUCGGAGUCUCUAUACAGGUGGUGCAUGGUUGU
RNAcentral lists this ribosomal RNA (257 nucleotides) under uncultured bacterium. RNAcentral's name for it is "partial 16S ribosomal RNA". It matches the Rfam family "Bacterial small subunit ribosomal RNA", at positions 795 to 1052 of the family's 1533-position model. The record is from RNAcentral.